CCCCCACAUUUUCCCCUUUCCCUCCUUUUCCUCAACCCUUCACGCCUUUAACCCCUUUUCUUUAGAAACUUCCGCCUUUAACACCCUUCUACUAGUCCCCUCCCCCUACUUUUAGUAUUCAUCCAGUUUUAUAAAUCGGAACUGGUAAAUAGGUAAGCUUCAACUGAUUUCAUUUUCACGUUUUGAUUUUUUAUUUGGUGAGACUUUAAGUUCCCAGUUUGGGUUUGUAAAUUUUUUAGGUGUUUAUGCAGAGGGUUUUGGUGGCUUUGGAGUGAAGUGAAUCAAAUCCUAGCUGUUGAAUCUUCUGUUGUGUCUGAAUCAGACAAUUAAAAAGUAAUUUGAAUCUUUCAGAUGCCGGCGAGGUGUGUUUUAUUUUUGUUCUAGUUGCCGGAAAAAGGGUGACACAGAGGUGCAAUUUUCAUAUAUGGCCUUCCGGUGAGUUUUCCCUCUAUUUUAUUCAUUUUUUCGGAAUUUAUUUAUUUAUUUUUUUACAUAAUUACUUGUUUAUUUUGUUCCUGAUUGGCCCUUCAAUGUUCGUUCUGGAUCAUCCGAGUUUUAUUCAAAUUUCUUUUAGGAUUUUAAUUUUUUUUCCUUUGAAGGAUAUAAAUUUAUAAAACUAUUCACUUUCAGUUAUUGAAUGAAAAUGAGAGUGUGAGAUUAAUCUCACAAAAGAGUCUUCUUAAUGACUCAAAUAACACUCUUUUUUUAGCAGUAAACAAUGUUAAUUUGAUAAGAAAGAGUGUUAUUUGAGUUUCAGUUUCAAAUGUUUGUAGCUUUG
This 778-nucleotide long non-coding RNA is filed under the name Nicotiana tabacum (common tobacco). RNAcentral's name for it is "long non-coding RNA (NTAB_LNC004662)". The record is from RNAcentral. Lineage: Eukaryota; Viridiplantae; Streptophyta; Magnoliopsida; Solanales; Solanaceae.